AUGGCUUGCCAUCAAAGAUCCGCAAGUUUGCCUUACUCCAGUGAAUCCAAAGUGGAGGUGGAUCUGCAGGGCCUGAGGUCAUGCAUCUCUUCACCCUCCGCAACCAUCGACACAAUGUGUGGUGGUUACGCAAGGCUUGGAGACAUCUACAAGUGCAUAGAGGAGAUCAUGGGCUUGCCCAGCAACCAAAUUAGCCUCUCCUUCCCCCAAAACAAGAAAAUGGUAGAAGAGGAAUUGGAGAGAUCCCUCGUGCUGAUUGAUCUCUGCAAUUCCAUGCAAGAGAAUUUAGCAGAGCUGAAGAUGAGUACCCAGGAGCUGCAACUGGUUCUCAAAAGAGGAGAUGAUGCAUCUGUUCAACUCAAGGUUGAGUCUUUCAUUCGCCUUGCCAAGCAGGCGCAGAAGCCUUUCAAGAAGAUCGCAAGCAGCAAAGCUAGUGGUGAAGAUUGCAGGCUGGUCAGGCUACUGGCGGAAGGUAGAGAGAUGUCUGUCUCUCUACUCGAGUCCACGUCGCAGCUGUUGCCAAAGCAGUUCGCCACCACCAAAGGAAGCAAGUGGUCUCUUGUCCAGAAGAAAAAGGUCGUUUGCGAGGAGGUACAGUUGCAAGCGCUAGAGCGAAACAUGGGAGAUCUUGAGAACGGUGCGGAGCUUCUGUUCAGGAGAUUGAUCCAAAGCAGGGUUUCACUCCUGAACAUUCUCAGCUCGUAG
This 705-nucleotide ribosomal RNA is filed under the name Triticum aestivum (bread wheat). Its description in RNAcentral is "partial small subunit ribosomal RNA". Lineage: Eukaryota; Viridiplantae; Streptophyta; Magnoliopsida; Poales; Poaceae. The record is from RNAcentral.